GACGUAGGGGCGAGCGUUGUCCGGAUUUAUUGGGCGUAAAGCGCGCGUAGGCGGCCGCGCAAGUCGGAUGUGAAAACCCGGGGCUCAACCCCGGGCGUGGCCAUUCGAUACUGCGCGGCUCGAGACAGGUAGGGGAGAUGGAAUUCCGGGUGUAGCGGUGGAAUGCGUAGAGAUCCGGAAGAACACCGGUGGCGAAGGCGGCCUGCUGGGCAGUGGCUGACGCUGAGGCGCGACGCGUGGGGAG
This 244-nucleotide ribosomal RNA is filed under the name uncultured bacterium. Its description in RNAcentral is "partial 16S ribosomal RNA". It matches the Rfam family "Bacterial small subunit ribosomal RNA", at positions 524 to 768 of the family's 1533-position model. The record is from RNAcentral.